CAGUAGCCACGGGAAUACGAAGGGUGCAAGCGUUACUCGGAAUUACUGGGCGUAAAGCGUGCGUAGGUGGUGGUUUAAGUCCGUUGUGAAAGCCCUGGGCUCAACCUGGGAAUUGCAGUGGAUACUGGGUCACUAGAGUGUGGUAGAGGAUAGUGGAAUUUCCGGUGUAGCAGUGAAAUGCGUAGAGAUCGGAAGGAACAUCUGUGGCGAAGGCGGCUAUCUGGGCCAACACUGACACUGAGGCACGAAAGCGUGGGGAGCAAACAGGAUUAGAUACCCGCGUAGUCCCUGUCUCUUAUAC
This 301-nucleotide ribosomal RNA is filed under the name uncultured bacterium. Its description in RNAcentral is "partial 16S ribosomal RNA". It matches the Rfam family "Bacterial small subunit ribosomal RNA", at positions 509 to 807 of the family's 1533-position model. The record is from RNAcentral.